GUGCCUAACACAUGCAAGUCGAACGAGCUUUCUCUCUCUCGAGAGAGGGAGCGAGUGGCGGACGGGUGAGGAACACGUGGGUGACCUACCCUGGAGUGAGGAAUACCGGCGAGAAAUUGCCGACAAUACCGCAUGCGCUUCUUUGUCUGAGAGGAGAGAGAAGGAAAGUCUCGCGAGAGACGCUCUGGGAUGGGCCCGCGGCCGAUUAGCUGGUUGGUGGGGUAAGAGCCUACCAAGGCUGCGAUCGGUAGCUGGUCUGAGAGGACGAUCAGCCACACUGGGAUUGAGAACGGCCCAG
Molecule: ribosomal RNA, 298 nt
Filed under: uncultured bacterium
Lineage: Bacteria
Description: partial 16S ribosomal RNA
Rfam family: Bacterial small subunit ribosomal RNA
Source: RNAcentral